GGGGUUGUGGCUCAAGUGGUAGAGCGCUCGCCUAGCACGUGUGAGGCACUGGGUUCGACCCUCAGCACCACA
Molecule: transfer RNA, 72 nt
Filed under: Marmota monax (woodchuck)
Lineage: Eukaryota; Metazoa; Chordata; Mammalia; Rodentia; Sciuridae
Description: tRNA.Ala
Rfam family: tRNA
About the family: Transfer RNA (tRNA) molecules are approximately 80 nucleotides in length. Their secondary structure includes four short double-helical elements and three loops (D, anti-codon, and T loops).
Source: RNAcentral